GACGAACGCUGGCGGCGUGCUUAACACAUGCAAGUCGAACGGAGAGGCCCUGCUUUUGUGGGGUGCUCGAGUGGCGAACGGGUGAGUAACACGUGAGUAACCUGCCCCUGACUUUGGGAUAACUUCAGGAAACUGGGGCUAAUACCGGAUAGGAGCUCCUGCUGCAUGGUGGGGGUUGGAAAGUUUCGGCGGUUGGGGAUGGACUCGCGGCUUAUCAGCUUGUUGGUGGGGUAGUGGCUUACCAAGGCUUUGACGGGUAGCCGGCCUGAGAGGGUGACCGGCCACAUUGGGACUGAGAUACGGCCCAGACUCCUACGGGAGGCAGCAGUGGGGAAUAUUGCACAAUGGGCGGAAGCCUGAUGCAGCAACGCCGCGUGCGGGAUGACGGCCUUCGGGUUGUAAACCGCUUUCGCCUGUGACGAAGCGUGAGUGACGGUAAUGGGUAAAGAAGCACCGGCUAACUACGUG
RNAcentral lists this ribosomal RNA (468 nucleotides) under uncultured bacterium. Its description in RNAcentral is "partial 16S ribosomal RNA". It matches the Rfam family "Bacterial small subunit ribosomal RNA", at positions 28 to 507 of the family's 1533-position model. The record is from RNAcentral.